Molecule: ribosomal RNA, 2160 nt
Filed under: human oral metagenome
Description: bacterial LSU rRNA
Rfam family: Bacterial large subunit ribosomal RNA
Source: RNAcentral
AUCUCAUAAGGCUAAAUACUCUUACUAACCGAUAGCGCAUAGUACCGUGAGGGAAAGGUGAAAAGAACCCCUGGAGGGGAGUGAAAUAGAACCUGAAAUUGUGUGCUUACAAGCGGUCAGAGCCAGUAAUGGUGAUGGCGUGCCUUUUGGAGAAUGAUCCUGCGAGUUACGUUAAACGGCGAGGUUAAGUAUAACGGAGCCGAAGGGAAACCAAGUCUUAAUAGGGCGAUUUAGUCGUUUGGCGUAGACGCGAAACCUGGUGAUCUAAACCUGUCCAGGAUGAAGCUGUGGUAAGACACAGUGGAGGUCCUAACCCACCGCCGUUGAAAAGUUGGGGGAUGAGGUAGGUUUAGGGGUGAAAAGCCAAUCGAACCAGGAGAUAGCUCGUUCUCUCCGAAAUGUAUCUAGGUACAGCCUUGAGUGUUCAAUUAUGGGGGUAGAGCACUGAAUGAUCUAGGGGGCGUAUUGCUUACUGAAAUCAAUCAAACUCCGAAUACCAUAAUUUAGAGCUCAGGAGUGAGACUAUGGGAGUUAACUUCCAUUGUCGAAAGGGAAACAACCCAGACCACCAGCUAAGGUCCCUAAUUAUAACUAAGUGGGAAAGGAGGUGGAGAUUCACAAACAACUAGGAGGUUGGCUUAGAAGCAGCCAUACCUUUAAAGAGUGCGUAAUAGCUCACUAGUCGAGAGUCUCUGCGCCGACAAUGUAACGGGGCUAAGUUAUAAACCGAAGCUGUGGAAUCCGUAAGGAUUGGUAGGAGAGCGUUCUGUAGGCCGUUGAAGGAGAAGGGUAACCGACUCUGGAGGUAUCAGAAGUGAGAAUGCAGGAAUAAGUAGCGAGAAAGGGGGCGAGAAUCCCCCUCGCCGGAAGACCAAGGUUUUCAGGGUAAAGCUUGUCUAAACCGACACAGGUGGUCAGGAUGAGAAAUCUAAGGCGGACAGGCUAACUCUCGUUAAGGAACUCUGCAAAAUAACCUCGUAACUUCGGGAGAAGAGGAGCCCUUGAGGGUCAGUAUCCACGCGAUACAAAGCGCUCGAGGGUCGCAGUGAAGAGGCUCAAGCAACUGUUUAACAAAAACACAGGUCUAUGCUAAGCUGGAAGGCGAUGUAUAUGGGCUGACACCUGCCCAGUGCUGGAAGGUUAAGAGGAGGAGUGAGAGCUCCGAAUUGAAGCCCCAGUGAACGGCGGCCGUAACUAUAACGGUCCUAAGGUAGCGAAAUUCCUUGUCGGGUAAGUUCCGACCUGCACGAAUGGUGUAAUGAUUUGAGCGCUGUCUUGACGGGAGGCCUGGUGAAAUUGUAUUACCGGUGAAGAUACCGGUUACCUACAGUAGGACGGAAAGACCCCAUGGAGCUUUACUGUAGCUUGGUAUUGGGUUUUGGCAUUGCAUGUAUAGGAUAGUUGGGAGACUGAGAUGAUAUGGCGCUAGCUGUAUCGGAGUCAUCGGUGGAAUACCAACCAUUCAAUGCUGAAAUUCUAAUCUGUGGUUUGUAGCCACGGAGACAGUGCUAGGUGGGCAGUUUGACUGGGGCGGUCGCCUCCGAAAGAGUAACGGAGGCGUUCAAAGGUUCUCUCAGGUUGGAUGGAAAUCAACCAUAGAGUGCAAUGGCAUAAGAGAGCUUGACUGCAAGACUGACGGGUCGAGCAGAUGCGAAAGCAGGACAUAGUGAUCCGGCGAUUCCGAAUGGAAGGGUCGUCGCUCAACGGAUAAAAGCUACCCUGGGGAUAACAGGCUGAUCCUACCCGAGAGUCCAUAUCGACGGUAGGGUUUGGCACCUCGAUGUCGGCUCAUCGCAUCCUGGGGCUGGAGAAGGUCCCAAGGGUUGGGCUGUUCGCCCAUUAAAGCGGUACGUGAGCUGGGUUCAGAACGUCGUGAGACAGUUCGGUCCCUAUCCACUGUAGGCGUUAGAAUAUUGAGAAGACCUGUCCUUAGUACGAGAGGACCGGGAUGGACAAACCUCUGAUGUACCAGUUGUCACGCCAGUGGCACAGCUGGGUAGUCACGUUUGGAAUAGAUAACCGCUGAAAGCAUCUAAGCGGGAAACUAACUUCAAGAUAAGUAUUCUUUAAGAUACCUUCGAGCCUAGGAGGUUGAUAGGUUGGGGGUGUAAGUGCAGCAAUGCAUUUAGCUGACCAAUACUAAUUAUCGAAGUUUUAAUC